AUUGUUCGCUGGCGGCAUGCCUUACACAUGCAAGUCGAACGGCAGCACGGAGCUUGCUCUGGUGGCGAGUGGCGAACGGGUGAGUAAUAUAUCGGAACGUACCCUAGAGUGGGGGAUAACGUAGCGAAAGUUACGCUAAUACCGCAUACGAUCUAAGGAUGAAAGUGGGGGAUCGCAAGACCUCAUGCUCGUGGAGCGGCCGAUAUCUGAUUAGCUAGUUGGUAGGGUAAAAGCCUACCAAGGCAUCGAUCAGUAGCUGGUCUGAGAGGACGACCAGCCACACUGGAACUGAGACACGGUCCAGACUCCUACGGGAGGCAGCAGUGGGGAAUUUUGGACAAUGGGCGAAAGCCUGAUCCAGCAAUGCCGCGUGAGUGAAGAAGGCCUUCGGGUUGUAAAGCUCUUUUGUCAGGGAAGAAACGGUGAGAGCUAAUAUCUCUUGCUAAUGACGGUACCUGAAGAAUAAGCACCGGCUAACUACGUGCCAGCAGCCGCGGUAAUACGUAGGGUGCAAGCGUUAAUCGGAAUUACUGGGCGUAAAGCGUGCGCAGGCGGUUUUGUAAGUCUGAUGUGAAAUCCCCGGGCUCAACCUGGGGAAUUGCAUUGGAGACUGCAAGGCUAGAAUCUUGGCAGAGGGGGGGUAGAAUUUCCACGUGUAGCAGUGAAAUGCGUAGAUAUGUUGAAGAACAACCGAUGGCGAAAGGGCACCCCCUGGGUCCAGAUUGACGCUCAUGCACGAAAGCGUGGGGAGCAAACAGGAUUAGAUACCCUGGUAGUCCACGCCCUAAACGAUGUCUACUAGUUGUCGGGUCUUAAUUGACUUGGUAACGCAGCUAACGCGUGAAGUAGACCGCCUGGGGAGUACGGUCGCAAGAUUAAAACUCAAAGGAAUUGACGGGGACCCGCACAAGCGGUGGAUGAUGUGGAUUAAUUCGAUGCAACGCGAAAAACCUUACCUACCCUUGACAUGGCUGGAAUCCUUGAGAGAUCAGGGAGUGCUCGAAAGAGAACCAGUACACAGGUGCUGCAUGGCUGUCGUCAGCUCGUGUCGUGAGAUGUUGGGUUAAGUCCCGCAACGAGCGCAACCCUUGUCAUUAGUUGCUACGAAAGGGCACUCUAAUGAGACUGCCGGUGACAAACCGGAGGAAGGUGGGGAUGACGUCAAGUCCUCAUGGCCCUUAUGGGUAGGGCUUCACACGUCAUACAAUGGUACAUACAGAGCGCCGCCAACCCGCGAGGGGGAGCUAAUCGCAGAAAGUGUAUCGUAGUCCGGAUUGUAGUCUGCAACUCGACUGCAUGAAGUUGGAAUCGCUAGUAAUCGCGGAUCAGCAUGUCGCGGUGAAUACGUUCCCGGGUCU
Molecule: ribosomal RNA, 1358 nt
Filed under: uncultured bacterium
Lineage: Bacteria
Description: bacterial SSU rRNA
Rfam family: Bacterial small subunit ribosomal RNA
Source: RNAcentral